RNAcentral lists this unclassified non-coding RNA (227 nucleotides) under Hevea brasiliensis (rubber tree). The record is from RNAcentral. Lineage: Eukaryota; Viridiplantae; Streptophyta; Magnoliopsida; Malpighiales; Euphorbiaceae.
ACAUGCCGGGCGUCUCUUCCAGAACCUUGAUGUCUCGGCGGAGCAGCGGCCAGUUGCAACCGUUGUUAUCGAUGUGCGGGACGCCCAUAAAGCACACGCCGAUUGGCUUGUUGGACUUGACCUUGAUCUCCAUCCAUCGCCGCGCCUCACGGGCGGCUAGAUGGCCGGCGAAUCUGGCGCACGCCUGAUCGAUUAACUGCUCAGCGGGUAGUUCGCUGGAGGGAAGA